Molecule: long non-coding RNA, 732 nt
Organism: Ornithorhynchus anatinus (platypus)
Lineage: Eukaryota; Metazoa; Chordata; Mammalia; Monotremata; Ornithorhynchidae
Exons: 2
Source: RefSeq, a predicted model, not a curated record
GCUGGGGUGUCGGGUCCCCAAACUGCUAUCCCAACAGCCUGAAGUAAAAGCUGAACAUACACCUUUCCUGCUACUAUAAUGAAAGCGCUUGAUACUGUGCGAACUGUGAUCACCUGAGAAGGUAACCCUGAGUUCCCCGGAAUUAAGACAGAGAAGGCAGAGAAUGGGGAAAGAGAGGAGACACGUCUAUUCUGAACGGCCAAGAUUUCUGCCGGUCGCUAAUGCAGCAGCACAGCCAAGGAAGAUGUGAGACGUCGGACUGAGAUGGAGAGGACAGGUUGAGCAGAGCGGAAAGACUCGAAGGUGAGGAUGGAGCAAUCCGUGUGAGCGUCGGUGGUCCCGGCACAUAAAAAGUAGCAGCCAUUUCCCAUGUUUGAUGCAAAUCAAGGCGGCCUCCGGGGGAGUGACACCCCAGAAUGAAACUGAGUGGUCGAUCGCGUUUAUUAGGAGAAUGGAGAAAUGCUUGGCUUUUCCCUUCGAUAAAUGAAAAUGUAUGUCACCAGUAACCGACGUCUUACCCAAGAAGAGAGAGUGAAAAUCAUACCUACCGUACUGUUUUCCCCCUUACUUGUUGAGAGAGCAACAGGUACCUCUUUACACACUAUUUUAUUUGGGGCCCAAACCUAGAAUUGGGGUAAAAACCUACAUGAGCAAGCACACGUCAUUUGGGGGUGUAACUUGGGUGUCAACUCGAUCACAUGAAAGCUCAUAAAAAUGUCAUCUGCGGUGUAA